UAACACGUGGGUAACCUGCCUCAUAGAGUGGAAUAGCCUUCCGAAAGGAAGAUUAAUACCGCAUAAUGUUGAAAGAUGGCAUCAUCAUUCAACCAAAGGAGCAAUCCGCUAUGAGAUGGACCCGCGGCGCAUUAGCUAGUUGGUGGGGUAACGGCCUACCAAGGCGACGAUGCGUAGCCGACCUGAGAGGGUGAUCGGCCACAUUGGGACUGAGACACGGCCCAA
RNAcentral lists this ribosomal RNA (225 nucleotides) under uncultured bacterium. Its description in RNAcentral is "partial 16S ribosomal RNA". It matches the Rfam family "Bacterial small subunit ribosomal RNA", at positions 111 to 334 of the family's 1533-position model. The record is from RNAcentral.